Molecule: ribosomal RNA, 253 nt
Filed under: uncultured bacterium
Lineage: Bacteria
Description: partial 16S ribosomal RNA
Rfam family: Bacterial small subunit ribosomal RNA
Source: RNAcentral
UACGGGGGGGGCAAGCGUUGUUCGGAAUUACUGGGCGUAAAGGGCUCGUAGGCGGCCAACUAAGUCAGACGUGAAAUCCCUCGGCUUAACCGGGGAACUGCGUCUGAUACUGGAUGGCUUGAAUCCGGGAGAGGGAUGCGGAAUUCCAGGUGUAGCGGUGAAAUGCGUAGAUAUCAGGAAGAACACCCGUGGCGAAGGCGGUUCUCUGGGACGGUACUGACGCUGAGACGCGAAAGCGUGGGGAGCAAACAGG